UGGGUGAUCUGCCCUGCACUUUGGGAUAAGCCUGGGAAACUGGGUCUAAUACCGAAUACACCCUGCUGGUCGCAUGGCCUGGUGGGGGAAAGCUUUUGCGGUGUGGGAUGGGCCCGCGGCCUAUCAGCUUGUUGGUGGGGUGAUGGCCUACCAAGGCGACGACGGGUAGCCGGCCUGAGAGGGUGUCCGGCCACACUGGGACUGAGAUACGGCCCAGACUCCGUACGGGAGGCA
RNAcentral lists this ribosomal RNA (234 nucleotides) under uncultured bacterium. Its description in RNAcentral is "partial 16S ribosomal RNA". It matches the Rfam family "Bacterial small subunit ribosomal RNA", at positions 118 to 350 of the family's 1533-position model. The record is from RNAcentral.